This 450-nucleotide ribosomal RNA is filed under the name uncultured bacterium. Its description in RNAcentral is "partial 16S ribosomal RNA". It matches the Rfam family "Bacterial small subunit ribosomal RNA", at positions 338 to 795 of the family's 1533-position model. The record is from RNAcentral.
CCUACGGGGGGCUGCAGUGGGGAAUUUUGGACAAUGGGGGCAACCCUGAUCCAGCCAUGCCGCGUGCGGGAAGAAGGCCUUCGGGUUGUAAACCGCUUUUGUCAGGAGAGAAAUCUCUUGGGCUAAUACCCUGAGAGGAUGACGGUACCUGAAGAAUAAGCACCGGCUAACUACGUGCCAGCAGCCUCGGUAAUACGUAGGGUGCAAACGUUAAUCGGAAUUACUGGAGGCGGUGCGGCAAGACAGGGGUGAAAUCCCCGGGCGUAACCUGGGAACUGCACGUGUGACUGCACGGCUAGAGUACGGCAGAGGGGGAUGGAAUGCCGCGUGUAGCAGUGAAAUGCGUAGAUAUGCGGAGGAACACCGAUGGCGAAGGCAGUCCCCUGGGCAUGUACUGACGCUCAUGCACGAAAGCGUGGGGAGCAAACAGGAUUAGAUACCCCUGUAGUC